RNAcentral lists this ribosomal RNA (293 nucleotides) under uncultured bacterium. RNAcentral describes it as "partial 16S ribosomal RNA". It matches the Rfam family "Bacterial small subunit ribosomal RNA", at positions 335 to 626 of the family's 1533-position model. The record is from RNAcentral.
GUCUCUACGGGACGCAGCAGUGAGGAAUAUUGGUCAAUGGGCGGGAGCCUGAACCAGCCAAGUCGCGUGAGGGAAGAAGGUACUUAGUAUUGUAAACUUCUUUUGUCGGGGAACAAAGGCGGAGACGCGUCUCCGGAUGAGUGUACCCGAAGAAAAAGCAUCGGCUAACUCCGUGCCAGCAGCCGCGGUAAUACGGAGGAUGCGAGCGUUAUCCGGAUUUAUUGGGUUUAAAGGGUGCGCAGGCGGGAGAUCAAGGCAGCGGUAAAAUGUCGGGGCUCAAACCCGGCCGGCCG